This 525-nucleotide long non-coding RNA is filed under the name Monodelphis domestica (gray short-tailed opossum). Its description in RNAcentral is "lncRNA (ENSMODG00000032203.2)". The record is from RNAcentral. Lineage: Eukaryota; Metazoa; Chordata; Mammalia; Didelphimorphia; Didelphidae.
CCUGGAGAAAAUUUAAGCAAAAAAGGUGAGAAGGAAAGAAUGGGCAGUCCUAGAGAAAAGUGUCUGCUGUGAUUGGUAGAUGUGAAAAUUUAGAGGAGGUGACACAAGAGAAAAAAGUCUUUAAAUAGAAGAAAAAAAGACUGAAGAGACAGUCAGUCACCCAGGCUUGGAGUCAAGGACAGAGGAGCGACUAGAAGACUGACACCCAGACUUCUUUUAGACUGUCACAGUUGGAGCUUACAAUCUAAUGGAGAAAGGAAACACAUGAAAAAAGAAGCUGAAAAAUUGGAGGGGUGGAGGGAAGAUACCAAACAUGAGGAAGGAGUGGGACUUAAUGGAAAAGUCCAAAGAAACACAGGGAUGGAGAACUUGGUUAUUUCUGGAGGCAAAAGGGAAGGAACAAGUAGACAAGUAAAGACUGAAAAAUAAAGAAAAAUGUGUUAAAAUAGAGGGAAAUCCAGUGGAGAUGGGAGUGAGAUCAAGAGUACAAAUAAAAGGUUUGACCUUGAAAGGAGAAACCUCUUC